CACGUACUGUGCAAACGUUAUUCGGAAUCACUGGGCUUAAAGGGUAUGUAGGCGGUUUGGAAAGUCAGAUGUGAAAUGCCACAGCUCAACUGUGGCACUGCGUUUGAAACUUCCAGGCUAGAGUAUUCCAGAGGUAUGCGGAACUUAUGGUGGAGCGGUGAAAUGCGUUGAUAUCAUGGGGAACACCGGAGGCGAAGGCGGCAUACUGGGGGAUAACUGACGCUGAGAUACGAAAGCCAGGGUAGCGAAC
RNAcentral lists this ribosomal RNA (250 nucleotides) under uncultured bacterium. RNAcentral describes it as "partial 16S ribosomal RNA". It matches the Rfam family "Bacterial small subunit ribosomal RNA", at positions 524 to 773 of the family's 1533-position model. The record is from RNAcentral.